UUAUGGCCAUAUCACAUUGAAACACUGGUUCUAGUCCAACCACUAAGGGUAAGCAAUUUUGAGCCUGAUCAGUACCUAGAUGGGUGACCACUUGGGAAUACCAGGUGCU
Molecule: non-coding RNA, 109 nt
Organism: Acanthosepion pharaonis
Lineage: Eukaryota; Metazoa; Mollusca; Cephalopoda; Sepiida; Sepiidae
Source: the annotation of a GenBank genome assembly